UACACUCCUACGGGAGGCAGCAGUGGGGAAUUUUGGACAAUGGGCGAAAGCCUGAUCCAGCAAUGCCGCGUGAGUGAAGAAGGCCUUCGGGUUGUAAAGCUCUUUUGUCAGGGAAGAAACGGUGAAAGCUAAUAUCUUUUGCUAAUGACGGUACCUGAAGAAUAAGCACCGGCUAACUACGUGCCAGCAGCCGCGGUAAUACGUAGGGUGCAAGCGUUAAUCGGAAUUACUGGGCGUAAAGCGUGCGCAGGCGGUUUUGUAAGUCUGAUGUGAAAUCCCCGGGCUCAACCUGGGAAUUGCAUUGGAGACUGCAAGGCUAGAAUCUGGCAGAGGGGGGUAGAAUUCCACGUGUAGCAGUGAAAUGCGUAGAUAUGUGGAGGAACACCGAUGGCGAAGGCAGCCCCCUGGGUCAAGAUUGACGCUCAUGCACGAAAGCGUGGGGAGCAAACAGGAUUAGAUACCCCAGUAGUCCCAUGA
Molecule: ribosomal RNA, 477 nt
Filed under: uncultured organism
Description: partial 16S ribosomal RNA
Rfam family: Bacterial small subunit ribosomal RNA
Source: RNAcentral